GCGCAGCGAGUGGGGAAAUCCUAUGCCGCCUGUGAACCUUCCCAUUAUGUUCGUUUCUUGUCUAAAAUAUGAGACUUAGGUUUUCAUUGCUUCUGUUCACUUCAGAAGAAUGAACAGAAAGCACUCGCCACCCUUUAACCUAAAUCAAAGUAUAAGCCAACAUUUCUAACAAGAGUACGGAUUCUUUCUUACCUUUGGAGUCCACGGACCCUUAAAAGGUGGAAUUCAUGGUGGAUUCUUUUGAUGGGGAUUUUCCUGCUUUGAAAGGAAAUAAUAGGACGUUUUCAAUGUGGAACAAGGCUGAGGUUCUGACUGCUGGCCUAAAAGAACCAGGAUUCCCCCAGUUGGACUCUCACAUACCUGUGGACCUCAAGUGCUCCUUCAUAUGUGUUUUCAAUGAACUUCAUCCAAACCACAUCAAAUGGCUGUGUAUAACACUAAGGAAAUGUCAUAUUGUCUCCUAGUCCUCUACCAUGUCUUUUACACACACUGAAGAUCAUGUGAAGAAAGAGAGAAGAUGGUCAUCUAUACACCAAGUUAAACGACCCUCAGAAGAAACCAACCCUAUGGACAACUUGAUCUUGAACUUCUAGCUUUCAGACCUCUAAGCAGAAAUUCAACCAAGUAACUG
Molecule: long non-coding RNA, 631 nt
Filed under: Homo sapiens (human)
Lineage: Eukaryota; Metazoa; Chordata; Mammalia; Primates; Hominidae
Description: HSALNT0037261
Source: RNAcentral